This 848-nucleotide unclassified non-coding RNA is filed under the name Hevea brasiliensis (rubber tree). Lineage: Eukaryota; Viridiplantae; Streptophyta; Magnoliopsida; Malpighiales; Euphorbiaceae. The record is from RNAcentral.
AUUAUCAGGAAGCUUCUCAAGCCGACUGUGAACCAAUAAUAAUUACAUUAUUAAGAAGUUUCUCAAGCCGAGUUUUAAAUGUUGAAUAUAAUUCUGCGUUUCCUGCCAUUACUUUGUCAGCAUCUUUCACGAACAAAAUGAAUGGCAAAUUCCGGCUCUCAUUGAAUACAACCUCAAACAAUGUAUUAGCGAAUAACUUGUCCGGAUCAUCCACGGCAGGGGCGUCUAAGCACAGCUCGCUCAUGACUGACUCUUCACGAUUUAUCAUGCAAAUCAUUGCAUGUUCAGGAAGGUUUUUGCCCGCACCAGUCAUAAAACGUUGCUCAAAAAUCUCCACUGUUGAAUUCAGCAUUGCAGUGGACGGAAUUGUUUCUGUUUUAACCAGAGAUCUCGAGUUUGUGUUUGAAUCUUGAGUAUGAAAAAAUUCAUGAUAUGCUUUCCGCCAAAUGGGAUCCUGCGGAAACUCUGCUAUUAGUUGACACCAAGGCUUCUUCAUUUCAGCACCUUCUGUGACAGAUCUGACACCUUUUCUGGCAGCAACGCCGUCAACUUUUCCGGCAGCCUGAACUUUAUCAUUAGCCGAGCUGUUGCCGCAGAGUUUGGAUCGAUCUAUCGAAUAUUGCUCCUUCAAUAUCUCCCAGAUCGGUACCGAUUUUCCAGGUGAAUACACAUCGUUAUCAUUUGCCUUUGGACAUCGCGAAGGAGGUUUAUGAUCGGACGAUGAUGAUGACUUCUUUUUCCUUUUUUUUCUUUUGGGUGAUUGAGAGGCGGAACUUUCUCUUUGUGUUUGUGAUACCAUUUUGUUUUUUGUUUUUGAGAGGAAAAGAGUGAGAGAAGAAUAGGUUGGG